CCUACGGGUGGCAGCAGUGAGGAAUAUUGGUCAAUGGACGAGAGUCUGAACCAGCCAAGUAGCGUGAAGGAUGACUGCCCUAUGGGUUGUAAACUUCUUUUAUAUGGGAAUAAAAUGUUCCACGUGUGGGAUUUUGUAUGUACCAUAUGAAUAAGGAUCGGCUAACUCCGUGCCAGCAGCCGCGGUAAUACGGAGGGUCCGAGCGUUAUCCGGAUUUAUUGGGUUUAACGGGAGCGUAGGUGGAUUGUUAAGUCAGUUGUGAAAGUUUGCGGCUCAACCGUAGAAUUGCAGUUGAAACUGGCAGUCUUGAGUACAGUAGAGGUAGGCGGAAUUCGUGGUGUAGCGGUGAAAUGCUUAGAUAUCACGAAGAACUCCGAUUGCGAAGGCAGUUCACUGGACUGCAACUGACACUGAGGCUCGAAAGUGUGGGUAUCAAACAGGAUUAGAUACCCGAGUAGUC
This 460-nucleotide ribosomal RNA is filed under the name uncultured bacterium. RNAcentral's name for it is "partial 16S ribosomal RNA". It matches the Rfam family "Bacterial small subunit ribosomal RNA", at positions 338 to 795 of the family's 1533-position model. The record is from RNAcentral.